RNAcentral lists this ribosomal RNA (1065 nucleotides) under Salmonella enterica subsp. enterica serovar Infantis. RNAcentral's name for it is "partial 23S ribosomal RNA". It matches the Rfam family "Bacterial large subunit ribosomal RNA", at positions 711 to 1768 of the family's 2925-position model. Lineage: Bacteria; Pseudomonadati; Pseudomonadota; Gammaproteobacteria; Enterobacterales; Enterobacteriaceae. The record is from RNAcentral. RNAcentral also lists the same sequence under 1 other name.
AGACCCGAAACCCGGUGAUCUAGCCAUGGGCAGGUUGAAGGUUGGGUAACACUAACUGGAGGACCGAACCGACUAAUGUUGAAAAAUUAGCGGAUGACCUGUGGCUGGGGGUGAAAGGCCAAUCAAACCGGGAGAUAGCUGGUUCUCCCCGAAAGCUAUUUAGGUAGCGCCUCGUGAAUUCAUCUCCGGGGGUAGAGCACUGUUUCGGCUAGGGGGCCAUCCCGGCUUACCAACCCGAUGCAAACUGCGAAUACCGGAGAAUGUUAUCACGGGAGACACACGGCGGGUGCUAACGUCCGUCGUGAAGAGGGAAACAACCCAGACCGCCAGCUAAGGUCCCAAAGUCAUGGUUAAGUGGGAAACGAUGUGGGAAGGCCCAGACAGCCAGGAUGUUGGCUUAGAAGCAGCCAUCAUUUAAAGAAAGCGUAAUAGCUCACUGGUCGAGUCGGCCUGCGCGGAAGAUGUAACGGGGCUAAACCAUGCACCGAAGCUGCGGCAGCGACACUCAGGUGUUGUUGGGUAGGGGAGCGUUCUGUAAGCCUGCGAAGGUGGCCUGUGAGGGUUGCUGGAGGUAUCAGAAGUGCGAAUGCUGACAUAAGUAACGAUAAAGCGGGUGAAAAGCCCGCUCGCCGGAAGACCAAGGGUUCCUGUCCAACGUUAAUCGGGGCAGGGUGAGUCGACCCCUAAGGCGAGGCCGAAAGGCGUAGUCGAUGGGAAACGGGUUAAUAUUCCCGUACUUGGUGUUACUGCGAAGGGGGGACGGAGAAGGCUAUGUUGGCCGGGCGACGGUUGUCCCGGUUUAAGCGUGUAGGUGUGUGUUCCAGGUAAAUCCGGUUCACUUUAACACUGAGGCGUGAUGACGAGGCACUACGGUGCUGAAGCAACAAAUGCCCUGCUUCCAGGAAAAGCCUCUAAGCAUCAGGUAACAUCAAAUCGUACCCCAAACCGACACAGGUGGUCAGGUAGAGAAUACCAAGGCGCUUGAGAGAACUCGGGUGAAGGAACUAGGCAAAAUGGUGCCGUAACUUCGGGAGAAGGCACGCUGACAUGUAGGUGAAGUGAUUU